GGGAAGGGGAAGGUGCCUUUCCGCAUUUGGUGUAGUCCCGCAUUCUGCCAUAUGAUGGCGCCAGAGAACGCGCCUACCGGGAUAGGGAGGGGCAAGGAGGCGAGGAAGGAAAAAAAAGAGACAAGUGAAGAUUGACAUCCAUUAAGGCCAAUGGUAGCUCAAUCUUCUGUUCUCUGACUCCCAAGCUUCCCAUUCUCUUAGGAGGCUGCAUUUGUGGCGCUAAAAAAAGGGAUGGGCGUGGGAGAUUCCAGGACUUGUGCUCGCUGAAGAUACAACUGUUAGUCCAAGGGGUGACCCUGGAGAUCAUUACCAAAAUUUAAAAAUUUCACCACUGGGCACACAUGUUACCCUUCUCGUGAUGGCAUGGCAAAGCUUGAUUUGCAAGAGUUUCUUUUGGAUUGUCCCCAAUGAUUCCCUUUAAAAAUAGGAGCUCCUUCAAGCUCCUGUAUCAGCAGUGCUUGCACCUCAUAGGUGAUGAUCAUGAGGGGGACAAGGAGCCUCUAGACUUAAGAGACAAGUUGCCAGCAUUCUCCAGAUGGAGUGUUUCCCUCCGCAGCACCCCCUGCUGGUCAGUUUGACAAGCAGGUGAACAGAAGUUCUCAAAUACACAAUAGUAGAUUCUAUCAAUCAAGUUUCAUAAAGAGUUCUGAUUCCCAGAGGACUUAUGGAGCAAGGAUGACUGACACAAACACAAAAAUCAUUCUGCCUGUUGAAUGAAUCAUAAAAUACUGUCUUUGAUCCAGGAGGCUUGUGUCAUCUGCCAGCAUUUAUGAAACUGUGCUCCAAGUAGGCUCCUGUAUCAGCAGUGCUUGCCCCUGAUAGAUGAUGAUCAUGGGGGGACCAGGAGCCUCUAGACUUAGAGAACUUUCCCCACCCUCCCUGUGGAGUGUUUCCCUCCCCAGCACCCCCUGCUGGUCAGUUUGACAAACAGAUGAACAGAAGUUCUCAAAUACACAGUAAGCAGAUAACCCCAACAUCACCAGAAAUAUCAACUUGUGAUGGCAUUUUGUCAAGUUGUCUUUGUUAUCGGCAUCAUCUGUUGCUUUCUGAGGGAAGUAUUUUGAGUUCUCCUACUGAGACUGUGGAUUUGCCUAUUUCUUUUUGUAUGUCAGCUUUUGCCAUAUGUAUUUUGUAGUUGUGUUGUGAGGAAGAUUCAUGACUUAUCUUGUGGGAGAAUUCUGUAUUUAGCAGAUUUUCGUCUUAAGUUCUGUUUUGCUUAGUAUUGAUGUUAUUACUUUGCUUUUUCAGUUUCAAAAUCAUUUAGUAUAUCUUUUUCCUUUCUUUUAGCCUUUGUGUUUUUAUUUCAGAUGUGCUUUCUUAUGUACUGACUGUGAUCCCCAAAUUCAUAUGUUGAAGUCCCAACUCCAAAUGUAUUUGGAGGUGGGCCUUUCAGAC
RNAcentral lists this long non-coding RNA (1395 nucleotides) under Homo sapiens (human). Its description in RNAcentral is "PREDICTED lncRNA (TCONS_00046312)". Lineage: Eukaryota; Metazoa; Chordata; Mammalia; Primates; Hominidae. The record is from RNAcentral.